This 1521-nucleotide ribosomal RNA is filed under the name uncultured Planctomycetales bacterium. RNAcentral's name for it is "16S ribosomal RNA". It matches the Rfam family "Bacterial small subunit ribosomal RNA". The record is from RNAcentral. Lineage: Bacteria; Pseudomonadati; Planctomycetota; Planctomycetia; Planctomycetales.
CAUGCAAGUCGAACGAGGAUAUAUCCUUCGGGAUAUAAGCCGAGUGGCACAAGGGUGAGCAAUGCAUAGAUUACCUACCUUUAGGAUAAGGGCAACUUUGUGAAAACGGAGCUAAUACUUAAUAAUACAAAAGAAAAUAAUUUUCUUUUGUCAAAGGGAGGGUAGCAAUACCUUUCGCCUAGAGAGGGGUUUAUGUCCUAUCAGCUUGUUGGUGGGGUAAUAGCCUACCAAGGCGAAGACGGGUAGCCGGUUUAAGAGGAUGGUCGGCCACACUGGGACUGAGACACUGCCCAGACUUCUACGGAAGGCUGCAGUCGAGAAUCUUUCGCAAUGCCCGAAAGGGUGACGAAGCGACGCCGCGUGGGUGAAGAAGGCCUUCGGGUUGUAAAGCCCUGUCAGGAGUUAUGAAAUGUAAGUGCGCUAAUAUCGUGCUUAUUUGACAAAGGCUCCAAAGGAAGCCACGGCUAACUCUGUGCCAGCAGCCGCGGUAAUACAGAGGUGGCGAGCGUUGUUCGGAAUUAUUGGGCGUAAAGAGCACGUAGGUGGGUUUGCAAGUCAGAUGUGAAAGCCUUCUGUUCAACGGAAGAAUUGCAUCUGAAACUGCUAAUCUUGAGUAUAGGAGGGGAGAAUGGAACUUCUGGUGGAGCGGUGAAAUGCGUAGAUAUCAGAAGGAACGCCGGCGGCGAAAGCGAUUCUCUGGCCUAUUACUGACACUCAGUGUGCGAAAGCUAGGGGAGCAAACGGGAUUAGAUACCCCGGUAGUCCUAGCCGUAAACGAUGGGCACUAAGUAGAGGGAAUUACCUAUAUUCUCUCUGCCGUAGCUAACGCAUUAAGUGCCCCGCCUGGGGAGUACGGCCGCAAGGCUAAAACUCAAAAGAAUUGACGGGGGCUCGCACAAGCGGUGGAGCAUGUGGCUUAAUUCGAUGCAACGCGAAAAACCUUACCGGGGCUUGACAUGAUAGAAGUAGGAACCUGAAAGGGGGACGAACGGUAUCCAGUCCGUAGCUAUUACAGGUGUUGCAUGGCUGUCGUCAGCUCGUGUCGUGAGACGUUGGGUUAAGUCCCCUAACGAGCGAAACCCUUGUUUUUAGUUACCAGCGGGUUAUGCCGGGUACUCUAGAAAGACUGCCGUCGUCAAGACGGAGGAAGGUGGGGAUGACGUCAAGUCAUCAUGGCCCUUAUGCCCCGGGCUGCACACGUGCUACAAUGGUCGGUACAGACGGAAGCGAAGCCGAGAGGUGAAGCGAAUCCUAAAAAGCCGAUCUCAGUUCGGAUUGGAGGCUGAAAUUCGCCUCCAUGAAGUUGGAAUCGCUAGUAAUCGCGGAUCAGCAAUGUCGCGGUGAAUAUGUUCCCGAGCCUUGUACACACCGCCCGUCAAGCCACCCAAGCAGGAUGCACCCGAAAACAUUAUAUCUAACCAGGGCAACUUGGAGGAAAAUGUUGAAGGAGUGUUUUGUGAGGAGGACUAAGUCGUAACAAGGUAGUCGUAGGAGAACCUGCGGCUGGAUCACCUCCUUUCU